UUUAAAUUGAUGGAAAUGAGAAACCCGAAAAUCCCUUUGAUAAAUCAAAAAAAUCUAAUGGUAGUCAUGUCAGAUUUAAUAAAGAAGAAGCAGAAAGAAGUAAUACGUUGGAAUAAAACCAGUGAAUACCAACGAAAUAAAUACGUUUGUGACGAGGACAUUCAUACGUGUUUUCGUAAUACACCAACUAAUAAAGAAAAUUAAAAAUACCAAAGGAAAAUUCUUCAGGCUGGCUUCAGGUGUUAAGGAAACAUCAAGAGAAGACUACAAAAAGUCGUCCCGAAAUUUUCACAACAUAUCUACGAGAAGGGAA
Long non-coding RNA from Pararge aegeria (speckled wood butterfly), 313 nucleotides. RefSeq lists it as uncharacterized. The transcript is spliced from 3 exons. Lineage: Eukaryota; Metazoa; Arthropoda; Insecta; Lepidoptera; Nymphalidae. The record is from RefSeq and is a predicted model, not a curated record.